UGGUAGUCCGCAACCGAAGCGCAACCCCUACUUGUUAGUUGCCAUCAUUCAGUUGGGCACUCUAGCGAGACUGCCGGUAAUAAACCGGAGGAAGGUGGGGAUGACGUCAAAUCAUCAUGCCCCUUAUGACCUGGGCUACACACGUGCUACAAUGGUUGGUACAACGAGUUGCGAGUCGGUGACGGCGAGCUAAUCUCUUAAAGCCAAUCUCAGUUCGGAUUGUAGGCUGCAACUCGCCUACAUGAAGUCGGAAUCGCUAGUAAUCGCGGAUUAGCACGCCGCGGUCGAAUACGUUCCGGGCCUU
This 304-nucleotide ribosomal RNA is filed under the name uncultured Streptococcus sp. RNAcentral describes it as "bacterial SSU rRNA". It matches the Rfam family "Bacterial small subunit ribosomal RNA", at positions 1077 to 1382 of the family's 1533-position model. The record is from RNAcentral. Lineage: Bacteria; Bacillati; Bacillota; Bacilli; Lactobacillales; Streptococcaceae.